RNAcentral lists this non-coding RNA (21 nucleotides) under Arabidopsis thaliana (thale cress). The record is from RNAcentral. Lineage: Eukaryota; Viridiplantae; Streptophyta; Magnoliopsida; Brassicales; Brassicaceae.
UGAAGAAGAAGAAGGCUAUGC